UAUAUCCCACCUAAAAUUCUAAAAAAACGAAAAUAUCUGUAAAUAGUGAUGAUUUCCCAAGACGUGACUAAGUUGCGUGUGAAAAUAGAGAUGUUGAUGCGAUUCUUUUGAUUGUUCAUAUAGAGUAAGGUGAACAAAGAAACUUUCUUUAUUUUUCUUCUUAUUUUUUAUAUUUUUAAAGUGGAUAAGAACUUUCACAACUUGCUUUUUCCAACAAAUAAAUAUUUCAGUCUUUAUUAUUCGGUUUCUAAAAUAGAACACUUGUACACAAAGUUGUCAUAAGAGAUUAAAUCCAAAAUGAUGAGAUAUUUGACUUGACUAACAUCAAUUAUGUUAUUAAAAGUGAAGCCCUAACUGCAAAAGAUUAAUGAUUAUCCUCAAUCUAAAAUAUUUUAUUUGUUCUUAUUUAUUUGUAUAUUUUGAAGGGAAAAAAAACUAUUUUAUGCCCGUGCAAAAGUUUAGUAAUGUGUUUGUUGUUAUUUUUCAUGUCUAACUAUAUUUAAUAUUGUAUUAAUUCACAUAAUAAGUGAAAAAAGUUAUUGACUAUAUAGAUAGAAAAUGAUAUAUUAAGAAAAAAUGUACAAUAUAAUUUAUAAAUCAACAUAAUCAUUAUAUUCCUUAAGACAAAAAUAACCCAUGCCUAACACAAAAGCCACAAUUAGUAGAUCAGACAAACUUUGAAGGUCACACUCAUCGCCAAUCCCUCGCUCAGCGGAGCUCUUUGUGUUGAGCGAAAGGAGUACCUGCGCUAAGCAUAGUUUGGCUAGCUAAAAGGUCAAAUCUGGCUAGAUGAAAUGUCGCACUCAGCAAAAUUGACUGCAUUGAGCGCAUGUUGCAGAUUUCAAACUCUUUAAAAAUGAAUCAAAUUGGGUUUGUAAUAUACACCUCGGAUAAUAUACUUGUAACUCAAAAUUUUCUUGGUUCUUAGGCUAAUUAAGCUCUAUUACAAGUGUAUGAGCAAAGAGUAAGUGCUAGAGGAUCUAAUCCAUGUUCAUUGGAGUUAUUUGGAUUUAG
Molecule: non-coding RNA, 1014 nt
Organism: Lupinus albus (white lupine)
Lineage: Eukaryota; Viridiplantae; Streptophyta; Magnoliopsida; Fabales; Fabaceae
Source: the annotation of a GenBank genome assembly